RNAcentral lists this long non-coding RNA (719 nucleotides) under Androctonus crassicauda. The record is from RNAcentral. Lineage: Eukaryota; Metazoa; Arthropoda; Arachnida; Scorpiones; Buthidae.
GUGAUGGUAGUCAAUGCAGGUAUCUGCUUGCAAAUUUGCCUGACUCUGCAAUGGGAGCGCAUCUCCUCAGGGAAGUGGCCUGCCUCUUAUGUCACAAAUCUUUUUUCAGCUUUAAAAGCAAGUACUAUCUCCAGUUGAAAGCAGUUCCAAUAGGAAGCAGUAUGGUGCUUUCUUGGCUGAAAUCAUCUUAAGAGAGGUAGACAUAUGUUCCAUAAUAGUAUGAGGUUUUAUUUACACUACGUUGAUGACAUCUUGACUGUGUGGGACAAAGAGGCAAAGCCUGAAACUUUAGCUGAACAACUUUCCAUAGAAUCAUAUGGCUUUGUACUUAAACAACAACAGUUAAGUCACUCUUCUGCACGCCUUUUACACAUUAGUUUGAAAAUAGAGGAUACAAUAUGGGAAACUUCAGUGUACAGAAAACAUCUUAUGAACCUGUUGUUAUCCCUAGAUGGUCCUCAGAUCUGAUAAGAUAUAAAAUACCUGCCUUUAAUUUUUAUUUUAGAAGAGCCAAUACAUACAUCACCAAGAGAAGGAGAAGGAACUUCAAUAUAUCUGUGAAAUAGGGCACCAGCAUGGAUGUGGUAGGUACUUUUUGCAGAGCAUUUAUUGUAGAAUCAUCAUACAACAGACCCACAUGGUCCAAUCGGAAAACAUGGGAGACCAAGGUAAUCAAGGUUAUGUGCAAGUACCCUAUGCAAUGAAAGAAUAUCACUUGC